RNAcentral lists this ribosomal RNA (449 nucleotides) under uncultured bacterium. RNAcentral's name for it is "partial 16S ribosomal RNA". It matches the Rfam family "Bacterial small subunit ribosomal RNA", at positions 355 to 796 of the family's 1533-position model. The record is from RNAcentral.
UAGGGAAUCUUCCACAAUGGACGCAAGUCUGAUGGAGCAACGCCGCGUGAGUGAAGAAGGUUUUCGGAUCGUAAAGCUCUGUUGUUGGUGAAGAAGGAUAGAGGCAGUAACUGGUCUUUAUUUGACGGUAAUCAACCAGAAAGUCACGGCUAACUACGUGCCAGCAGCCGCGGUAAUACGUAGGUGGCAAGCGUUGUCCGGAUUUAUUGGGCGUAAAGCGAGCGCAGGCGGAAUGAUAAGUCUGAUGUGAAAGCCCACGGCUCAACCGUGGAACUGCAUCGGAAACUGUCAUUCUUGAGUGCAGAAGAGGAGAGUGGAACUCCAUGUGUAGCGGUGGAAUGCGUAGAUAUAUGGAAGAACACCAGUGGCGAAGGCGGCUCUCUGGUCUGCAACUGACGCUGAGGCUCGAAAGCAUGGGUAGCGAACAGGAUUAGAUACCCUGGUAGUCC